RNAcentral lists this microRNA precursor (205 nucleotides) under Oryza glumipatula. Its description in RNAcentral is "MIR812 microRNA precursor family". It matches the Rfam family "MIR812 microRNA precursor family". Lineage: Eukaryota; Viridiplantae; Streptophyta; Magnoliopsida; Poales; Poaceae. The record is from Rfam by way of RNAcentral.
AAAAAGACAAACCUUGAGUUUCCGUGUCCAACUUUGACUGUCCGUCUUAUGUGAAUUUUUUUUAUAAUUCGUAUUUUCAUUGUUGUUAGACGAUAAAACAUGAUUAAUAUUUUAUGCGUGACUUGUCUUUUUAAUUUUUUUCAUAAUUUUUUCAAAUAAGACGGACGGUCAAACGUUGGACACGGAAACCAGGGUUUGUCUUUUU